RNAcentral lists this transfer RNA (72 nucleotides) under Loxodonta africana (African savanna elephant). It matches the Rfam family "tRNA". From Rfam's summary of the family: Transfer RNA (tRNA) molecules are approximately 80 nucleotides in length. Their secondary structure includes four short double-helical elements and three loops (D, anti-codon, and T loops). The record is from Rfam by way of RNAcentral. Lineage: Eukaryota; Metazoa; Chordata; Mammalia; Proboscidea; Elephantidae.
GCCUUGGUGGCACAAUGGUUAUGCACUCGGCUGUUAACUGAAAGGUUGGUGGUUCGAACCCAUCCAGUGGCU